Molecule: ribosomal RNA, 557 nt
Filed under: uncultured Methylobacterium sp.
Lineage: Bacteria; Pseudomonadati; Pseudomonadota; Alphaproteobacteria; Hyphomicrobiales; Methylobacteriaceae
Description: bacterial SSU rRNA
Rfam family: Bacterial small subunit ribosomal RNA
Source: RNAcentral
ACGGGUGAGUAACGCGUGGGAACGUGCCUUCCGGUUCGGAAUAACCCUGGGAAACUAGGGCUAAUACCGGAUACGCCCUUAUGGGGAAAGGUUUACUGCCGGAAGAUCGGCCCGCGUCUGAUUAGCUAGUUGGUGGGGUAACGGCCUACCAAGGCGACGAUCAGUAGCUGGUCUGAGAGGAUGAUCAGCCACACUGGGACUGAGACACGGCCCAGACUCCUACGGGAGGCAGCAGUGGGGAAUAUUGGUCAAUGGGCGCAAGCCUGAUCCAGCCAUGCCGCGUGAGUGAUGAAGGCCUUAGGGUUGUAAAGCUCUUUUAUCCGGGACGAUAAUGACGGUACCGGAGGAAUAAGCCCCGGCUAACUUCGUGCCAGCAGCCGCGGUAAUACGAAGGGGGCUAGCGUUGCUCGGAAUCACUGGGCGUAAAGGGCGCGUAGGCGGCGUUUUAAGUCGGGGGUGAAAGCCUGUGGCUCAACCACAGAAUGGCCUUCGAUACUGGGACGCUUGAGUAUGGUAGAGGUUGGUGGAACUGCGAGUGUAGAGGUGAAAUUCGUAGA